Molecule: long non-coding RNA, 497 nt
Filed under: Monodelphis domestica (gray short-tailed opossum)
Lineage: Eukaryota; Metazoa; Chordata; Mammalia; Didelphimorphia; Didelphidae
Description: lncRNA (ENSMODG00000045826.1)
Source: RNAcentral
GCCUUUUAGAGAAGUAUGAUUCUAAUUGAUUAAAAAAUAAUUAAUAAUGAAUUUGCUAUUCUAUAAGCCAUCUGAUUUAGAUUUUUAAAUAUGUGAUUAUUACUGAAAACUUUUUUUUCCCAUCACAUUGUAUUCAAUGUCAAAACCAAAUUUUUAGUAGGUCAACUAGUAGAAUGGCUUAAUAGUAAUGUUAAUUAUGGUUAUUGAAUUAUCUGUCAGCAUAAUUAUAGAGCUCAUUAAUUUGUUUUAAAAACUAAGUUUUUUUCAGGAGGAAGAUAUUUGAUAUCUAAAAGAAGCUCAGCAAAACUGAAAAGACAACUGAAAUAUAAGGAAAAGAUGCAACAUUUCUGUUGUUUCAGCAUGGUUCAAAUACAUAGAAAAAAAUGAAAAACAUCCUUCAAAAUUACAUAAUGAACUAUUGAAAGCAGAACCCAAGUGAAAGAAUCUUCCUUAAUUCUAUGAUUUGAGAACAAUGGUACUCUCCCUUUUGUUUUCGA